RNAcentral lists this long non-coding RNA (207 nucleotides) under Vigna radiata. RNAcentral's name for it is "long non-coding RNA (VRAD_LNC007492)". The record is from RNAcentral. Lineage: Eukaryota; Viridiplantae; Streptophyta; Magnoliopsida; Fabales; Fabaceae.
UGGUGUAUUGAGGUUUGUUGUCUGGUUUGUGGCAUCUGGUGUGUGUUCACGGAUGGAUUGAAAAGAGGUUUAUGGAUAGAUAUAUAGCAGAAUGAAAAGAGAGAGUGAUGCAGGAGUUGCAGGGACCCCAACACAUGCAUUAACUGUACAUUUGUACCUUCUUUCCACAUGCAUAGCCCAUCUCCUCUCUCUUUCUUAUACCUUUCA